Molecule: ribosomal RNA, 497 nt
Filed under: uncultured bacterium
Lineage: Bacteria
Description: partial 16S ribosomal RNA
Rfam family: Bacterial small subunit ribosomal RNA
Source: RNAcentral
GAUGAACGCUGGCGGCGUGCCUAAUACAUGCAAGUCGAGCGAACAGAUAAUGAGCUUGCUCCUUUCACGUUAGCGGCGGACGGGUGAGUAACACGUGGGUCACCUACCUAUCUGACUGGGAUAACUUCGGGAAACCGGAGCUAAUCCCGGAUAAUAUUUCGAACCGCAUGGUUCGAUAGUGAAAGAUGGUUUUGCUGUCACUUAUAGAUGGACCCGCGCCGUAUUAGCUGGUUGGUAAGGUAACGGCUUACCAAGGCGACGAUACGUAGCCGACCUGAGAGGGUGAUCGGCCACACUGGAACUGAGACACGGUCCAGACUCCUACGGGAGGCAGCAGUAGGGAAUCUUCCGCAAUGGGCGAAAGCCUGACGGAGCAACGCCGCGUGAGUGAUGAAGGUCUUCGGAUCGUAAAACUCUGUUAUUAGGGAAGAACAUACGUGUAAGUAACUGUGCACGUCUUGACGGUACCUAAUCAGAAAGCCACGGCUAACUACGUG